GGGCGUUUAGCUCAGCGGGAGAGCACUGUCUUCACACGGCAGGGGUCACAGGUUCAAAUCCUGUAACGCCCA
Molecule: transfer RNA, 72 nt
Filed under: bacterium
Lineage: Bacteria
Also listed under: 1 other name
Description: tRNA-Val
Rfam family: tRNA
About the family: Transfer RNA (tRNA) molecules are approximately 80 nucleotides in length. Their secondary structure includes four short double-helical elements and three loops (D, anti-codon, and T loops). Further hydrogen bonds mediate the characteristic L-shaped molecular structure. tRNAs have two regions of fundamental functional importance: the anti-codon, which is responsible for specific mRNA codon recognition, and the 3' end, to which the tRNAs corresponding amino acid is attached (by aminoacyl-tRNA synthetases). tRNAs cope with the degeneracy of the genetic code in two manners: having more than one tRNA (with a specific anti-codon) for a particular amino acid; and 'wobble' base-pairing, i.e. permitting non-standard base-pairing at the 3rd anti-codon position.
Source: RNAcentral